UACGGGGGGGGGCAAGCGUUGUUCGGAAUUACUGGGCGUAAAGGGCUCGUAGGCGGCCAACUAAGUCAGACGUGAAAUCCCUCGGCUUAACCGGGGAACUGCAUCUGAUACUGGAUGGCUUGAGUUCGGGAGAGGGAUGCGGAAUUCCAGGUGUAGCGGUGAAAUGCGUAGAUAUCUGGAGGAACACCGGUGGCGAAGGCGGCAUCCUGGACCGGCACUGACGCUGAGGAGCGAAAGCCAGGGGAGCAAACGGG
RNAcentral lists this ribosomal RNA (254 nucleotides) under Acidobacterium sp. RNAcentral's name for it is "partial 16S ribosomal RNA". It matches the Rfam family "Bacterial small subunit ribosomal RNA", at positions 524 to 776 of the family's 1533-position model. Lineage: Bacteria; Pseudomonadati; Acidobacteriota; Terriglobia; Terriglobales; Acidobacteriaceae. RNAcentral also lists the same sequence under 1 other name. The record is from RNAcentral.